AACGCAACUUGCGCCCCGCGGGGCAUGUCUGCCUGAGCCGGCGACACACUGGCCUCGGCCGCGCUGGGGCGUGCCCCGAAACGCGUGUCUGCACGGGCUGGAGCGGCGCCGCAGGGCGGAGCAGCCGACGCACACACGGCCGCUCAGGCAGACAGGACCACCCGCUGGACUUAA
Molecule: unclassified non-coding RNA, 174 nt
Filed under: uncultured Ascomycota
Lineage: Eukaryota; Fungi; Ascomycota
Description: sequence contains ITS2
Source: RNAcentral